This 1311-nucleotide long non-coding RNA is filed under the name Medicago truncatula (barrel medic). RNAcentral's name for it is "long non-coding RNA (MTRU_LNC000354)". The record is from RNAcentral. Lineage: Eukaryota; Viridiplantae; Streptophyta; Magnoliopsida; Fabales; Fabaceae.
AGGAUUCUGAAGCUCAUGUAAUGUAAUGAUAGAUGAAAAUCCCCAGGCCUCCUCAUUUGCAUUGAACUUGUGAUUAGAUUCUGGCAAAGGAUAAUGAAAAGACCAUUGUAUUGGUGAUGUUGAUCACAAAGAUAAGUGCCACCAUUAUAUUGCAACAUUAUAAAUAUAAUAGUAAUAAUUAUUAUUAUUAUUAUUAUUAUAAUUUCCCUUAAAAAAAAUUAUUAUUAUUAUUAUUUAUAAAAUUUUAGUUGGAAAAAGGUUACAAAAUUUUUGGGAUACCAAUUAUUUACGAGGAAAGAUUAACUCAAAAUAUAAAAGACUAUGUCCAGGACAAGCUGCUUGAACAAUAUUUUGAUUCUGCCAAUUUGAUCUAACAAAUCGUACAAUAAAUAAAUUUUUACAUAUUGUUGAAAUGCAUCAGUUGAGAGUGCAAUUUUUUUUAUUUUUUAUUAAUUUUCAAGAAAAUAUUGAGCUUUCCAUGCAUUAUUUAAGUUAAGAAAACAAGUGUGAAACCUUUCAUUUAGAAGAUGCCUUAGGCUCUGCUCUUUAAUGGAAUGGAAUUUCAGUUUUCCAUCUAACAUAGGAUGUUUCUCCGUGACUUUUUUGAUAUCAUCCAUCACUUUCUUUCUUGCAGAAUUUUCAUCUUGUUACUGCGAAAAUGAUGUAUGCUCCUUAACUAGAUCCAAAUAAAAAAGUUAGGAACAUAAAAAAUGAUUCAAAUUAAAUCAGACGUCAUCACACAAAGUCAAAAUUGAUGUUUUGUAAAAGGGGUACAUAUAGGGGGUCAUUUUUGCCAUUUUUUUCAAUAGGGGAUCAAAAUUGCAACCUUUGCAAACUUAAGAGGGAAAAGUGCUUUUAAGCCUAUUAUUAAUUGUAAUAUUCAGUUAUAAGGCGCAAUGGAAGACAAUGGAGACCUCAGCUGUUACUUUACCAACUGAAUCUGGGUCAUCAUGGCAAGAAAACACGUUAAUCAAAUAAAUUACACUCGAAGCAUCGAUCGCCAACCACGAAACAAAGGACAGAGAAAAGAUCAUCCACAACAAAAGCAUGAGAAAGGUUUUACUGCAGUUCCAACAAAAGCAAAAGUAUUAAAAAAAACUAGAAAAUUAUUUGAUUAAUAGAUGAAAAAUAGGAGAAGCAGCGCAUAGUGGAAUCAUAUGCAUACCUGUAGUUAAAGAAUGGUGGAUCCAUCGAUCGAAUUGGCAAAGGAAGCUAUGGCAAAGAGAAGAACUUUGAACCCUAUUGAGUUCUAAAACGAACUUUGAAUAUAGAAUCCUAUAUUCACAUGUUUUGUUUAACCGCAUCCAUUUU